CUAGGGAAACCGAGACCUGAGUACGAGGAUGCGGGGCAACCCAAAUUCGAGUCGUGUGGAGUCAGCAGGCAAGAAAAGCUGGAUGUGGAGGGUAUGAGAUGUCCGUACCGCAAACCGACACAGGUGGGCUAGGCGAGUAGCCUCAGGUGAACGAGUGAAACGUGGUCAAGGAACUCGGCAUAAUGAUCCCGUAACUUCGGAAGAAGGGAUGCCCCGUUUGGUAGCCAGACUUGCUCUGGUCGCUAGACGAGGCCGCAGAGAAUCGGCUCAAGCGACUGUUUAGCAAAAACACAGGUGCGUGCCAAGCCGCAUAAGGCGCCGUAUACGCACUGACGCCUGCCCGGUGCCGGAAGGUUAAGGGGAGAGGUUAGCCGCAAGGCGAAGCUUUGAUCCGAAGCCCCGGUAAACGGCGGCCGUAACAAUAACGGUCCUAAGGUAGCGAAAUUCCUUGUCGGGUAAGUUCCGACCUGCACGAAUGGCGUAACGACUUGAGCACUGUCUCGACCACGCGCUCGGCGAAAUAGCAGUCUCGGUGAGGAUUCCGAGUCCCCGCGACAGGACAAAAAGACCCCAUGCACCUUUACUGUAGCUUGUCAUUGGCGAUCGCAUAAGACUGUGUAGCAUAGGUGGGAGCCGUUGAGGCGGGGGCGCUAGCUCUCGCGGAGGCACCAGUGAAAUACCACCCUGUGUUCUGUGAUCGCCUCACCGCGGUAGGCAAACCCUAUCCGGGACCGUGGCAGGUGGGCAGUUUGACUGGGGCGGUCGCCUCCGAAAGAGUAACGGAGGCGCGCGAAGGUUGGCUCAGCGCGGUCGGUAAUCGCGCCUAUAGAGUGUAACGGCAGAAGCCAGCCUGACGGUGAGACCGACGGGUCGAACCGAGACGAAAGUCGGCCGUAGUGAUCCGGUAGACCGGUGUGGAUCGGCUAUCGUGCAACGGAUAAAAGGUACGCUGGGGAUAACAGGCUUAUCGCGCCCGAGAGUUCACAUCGACGGCGCGGUUUGGCACCUCGAUGUCGGCUUGUCACAUCCUGGGGCUGGAGAAGGUCCCAAGGGUCCGGCUGUUCGCCGGUUAAAGUGGCACAUGAGCUGGGUUCAGAACGUCGUGAGACAGUUCGGUCUGUAUCCGUCGUGGGCGUUGGAGAAUUGAGGGGAGCGGACUUUAGUACGAGAGGACCGAGUCGGACGAUCCGCUCGUGUCCCGGCUGUGGCGCCAGCUGCAACGCCGGGUAGCGAUGAUCGGUGGCGAUAACCGCUGAAAGCAUCUAAGUGGGAAGCGCCCCCCAAGAUGAAUUCUCCCUAGAGCCUUGAGCUCUCUAAAGGGCCGGAGGAGACUACUCCGUCGAUAGGCAGCACGUGGAAGUAACGCAAGUUAUUACGAGCGCAGCUGUCCUAAUCGCCCGUGCGGCUUGACUCC
Molecule: ribosomal RNA, 1414 nt
Filed under: metagenome
Description: bacterial LSU rRNA
Rfam family: Bacterial large subunit ribosomal RNA
Source: RNAcentral